UGGUGGGCGACCUAGAACUUAAAUGUAUUCCCGCAUUAUACUGGUGGGCGACCUAGAACUUAAAUGUAUUCCCGCAUUUUACUGGUGGGCGACCUAGAACUUAAAUGUAUUCCCGCAUUUUACUGGUGGGCGACCUAGAACUUAAAUGUAUUCCCGCAUUAUUCUGGUGAGCGACCUAGAACUUAAAUGUAUUCCCGCAUUAUACUGGUGGGCGACCUAGAAAUUAAAUGUAUUCCCGCAUUAUACUGGUGGGCGACCUAGAACUUAAAUGUAUUAAAUUGUUUCCCCGUUCUUCCGAGAAAAAUUUCGACAAUUGGC
RNAcentral lists this long non-coding RNA (318 nucleotides) under Nicotiana tabacum (common tobacco). RNAcentral describes it as "long non-coding RNA (NTAB_LNC012847)". The record is from RNAcentral. Lineage: Eukaryota; Viridiplantae; Streptophyta; Magnoliopsida; Solanales; Solanaceae.